This 1588-nucleotide long non-coding RNA is filed under the name Fukomys damarensis (Damara mole-rat). RNAcentral's name for it is "lncRNA (ENSFDAG00000029780.1)". The record is from RNAcentral. Lineage: Eukaryota; Metazoa; Chordata; Mammalia; Rodentia; Bathyergidae.
CAGGCUACUUUCAGGUCUUAUCCUUCAUCUCACCCCACAUCCCACCCCAGUGCUUGGUCCCAAAUCCUAAUGGGUCUCCACCUUCCAGAGCCCUCAUCCACUGCCAGAACCAAAGAGCGAACACCUUAUAACACGGGGUGGCCACCCUGACCAUCAACACAGAAACGGACCUGAAAGAGCUCCCCAUCUUGGUAUCAACGCUUCGGGGAAAGGAUGUCCGGGUCAGAGGCUGCAGGGGCCGGGCGGGCUAAAGGUGACCCACCGCCCUCUUCCGGGGGCCAGGCUGCUAAGGCGGAAGUGACGUAGGUGGGCUGAAACCAAGGGCCGGAUCCCCGCUGUUGGCUGGGAUCACUUCCGGACUGAGUGGCUCCACUCCUCUCACCCUUGCUGUCCUUUGAGUCCCAGGUCCUGAGGAAGGGCUGGGUCCUCAGUGCCAAACAGCAAUUAAGAAGCUCAGCCAUCAUCACGUGACCCAACGGUGUUGCCCUCUUUCCGCCUCCUGGCCUUUUAUCGACUGCCGUGGGGAAUAAACCGGGAUCUGGAGCUGUGGCUGAUUCCAUCUGGGUUGACGUCAAUGACACAAGCAUGGAACGAGUCCGAAUCCUCAGACAUCAAGCACUUCAUGCUGGGCCCGGUGGCAGACACCUGUGAUCCCUGGUACUCGGGAGGCUGAGGCAGGAGGAUCGCAAGUUCAAAUCCAGCCUGGACCAUUUAGCUCAAAAUAAAAUAAAAAGGGCUGGGGAUGUAGCUCAGUGUGAAGACCCUGGGUUCAAUCCCUGGGACCACAAAAAAAAAAAAAAAAGAAGUAGAAGAAGAAGAAGGUCGCCUUCAUGUUAUCUUGUUCAGCGACGAGCAGGCAAACACCCGCAGCUGGGAGGAGUCAGGAGGGUGGAAGGAACGUGGUAAGAGCUCAAAAGGGACACGGUGUGAGGGUCUAUUAGAGUCUGCGGCUCCGGACACCACCACUUGGUCCCCGAACGGGUCCCACGGGUCCCACAUCCAAGUUCCUCUUCACCCUGCAGGUCUGGACGCGGUGGCGGGCGGAACACGACACUGGCUGCACGGCAGGCACCGGCGGGGACAGACUCGCCAUGUUCGGGCACGCGGGCUGGGCAUGGAGAUCAGCACAGGCCUGGACGCCCGGCCAGCUCAGGAUGACCUGGAGACCAAAGCCAGAGGCAACGGCACAGGCACCAUCUCGGCUUUGCAGUUUUUCUUCUUGGCAAGUUCAUCAGUACAGAGUCCCAAAACCAGUUCCUCGACUUCUGCGCAGAUCACAUUCCUGGAAAAACACAACCAAGCAGAUUCUGUGAAAAUGGAACAAGAGAUUCUUGUGCUACACAGGACAGUGGCCAGGUCCUGAAAAAAAAAGGACACAUGAAGGGUGACACAAAGCACAAUCCCCUGAAUUCCUUCCCACCUCGCAGGUGUAGGACCUGUAUUUCUACAGCUCUGUAUAUGUUAUUUUUUUAAAAAAAUAAUUGGAUUUAUUUAUGGGAUCUAUUUUUUUAUUACAAAAUAGAUGGAUGCGCUAGGUGUGGUGGUGCACACGCCUGUAAUCCCAGCACUCGGGAGGCUGAGGCAGGAG